GACUUUGUGAAAUGACUUGAUAGGUGUAGGAUAAGUGGGAGCCUAAGUGGGAGCCGAGAGGCGAAAGUGAAAUACCACUACUUUUAACGUUAUUUUACUUAUUUCGUGAAUCGGAGGUGGGGCUCCACUAAUCAUGUCCAAAAACUGCCCAGAAAUGCCUAAAAAUUAGGCUGCAUCCCUAUCGCGUCCAAUCUGCAUUUUGGACAUGGCC
This 211-nucleotide ribosomal RNA is filed under the name Olea europaea subsp. europaea. RNAcentral describes it as "Eukaryotic large subunit ribosomal RNA". It matches the Rfam family "Eukaryotic large subunit ribosomal RNA", at positions 2435 to 2609 of the family's 3401-position model. The record is from Rfam by way of RNAcentral. Lineage: Eukaryota; Viridiplantae; Streptophyta; Magnoliopsida; Lamiales; Oleaceae.